This is a non-coding RNA of Brassica napus (rape), 1453 nucleotides long. NCBI's taxonomy places the organism in Eukaryota, Viridiplantae, Streptophyta, Magnoliopsida, Brassicales, Brassicaceae. The record is from Rfam.
UACCUGGUUGAUCCUGCCAGUAGUCAUAUGCUUGUCUCAAAGAUUAAGCCAUGCAUGUGUAAGUAUGAACGAAUUCAGACUGUGAAACUGCGAAUGGCUCAUUAAAUCAGUUAUAGUUUGUUUGAUGGUAACUAGUACUCGGAUAACCGUAGUUAUUCUAGAGCUAAUACGUGCAACAAACCCCGACUUCUGGAAGGGAUGCAUUUAUUAGAUAAAAGGUCGACGCGGGCUCUGCCCGUUGCUCUGAUGAUUCAUGAUAACUCGACGGAUCGUAUGGCCUUCGUGCUGGCGACGCAUCAUUCAAAUUUCUGCCCUAUCAACUUUCGAUGGUAGGAUAGUGGCCUACCAUGGUGGUAACGGGUGACGGAGAAUUAGGGUUCGAUUCCAGAGAGGGAGCUUGAGAAACGGCUACCACAUCCAAGGAAGGCAGCAGGCGUGCAAAUUACCCAAUCCUGACACGGGGAGGUAGUGACAAUAAAUAACAAUAUCGGGCUCUUCGAGUCUGGUAAUUGGAAUGAGUACAAUCUAAAUCCUUUAACAAGAAUCCAUUGGAGGGCAAGUCUGGUGCCAGCAGCCGCGGUAAUUCCAGCUCCAAUAGGUAUAUUUAAGUUGUUGCAGUUAAAAAGCUCAUAGUUGAACGUUCGGAUGGGUCGCCCGGUCCGCCUUCGGUGAGCACCGGUCGGCUUGUCUCUUCUGUCGGCGAUACGCUCCUGGCCUUAGCUGGCCUGGUCGUGCCUCCGGCGCUGUUACUUUGAAUAAAUUAGAGUGCUCAAUGCAAGCCUACGCUCUGUAUACAUUAGCAUGGGAUAACAUCAUAGGAUUUCGAUCCUAUUGUGUUGGCCUUCGGGAUCGGAGUAAUGAUUAACAGGGACAGUCGGGGGCAUUCGUAUUUAAUAGUCAGAGGUGAAAUUCUUGGAUUUUUGAAAGACGAACAACUGCGAAAGCAUUUGCCAAGGAUGUUUUUCAUUAAUCAAGAACGAAAGUUGGGGGCUCGAAGACGAUCACAUACCGUCCUAGUCUCAACCAUAAACGAUGCCGACCAGGGAUCAGCGGAUGUUUCUUUUAGGACUCCGCUGGCACCUUAUGAGAAAUCAAAGUUUUUGGGUUCCGGGGGAAGUAUGGUCGCAAGGCUGAAACUUAAAGGAAUUGACGGAAGGGCACCAUCAGGAGUGGAGCCUGCGGCUUAAUUUGACUCAACACGAGGAAACUUACCAGGUCCAGACAUAGUAAGGAUUGACAGACUGAGAGCUCUUUCUUGAUUCCAUGGGUGGUGGUGCAUGGCCGUUCUUAGUUGGUGGAGCUAUUUGUCUGGUUAAUUCCGUUAACGAACGAGACCUCAGCCUGCUAACUAGCUACGUGGAGGCAUCCCUUCACGGCCGGCUUCUUAGAGGGACUAUGGCCGUUUAGGCCAAGGAAGUUUGAGGCAAUAACAGGUCUGUGAUGCCCUUAGAUG